RNAcentral lists this ribosomal RNA (215 nucleotides) under Campeiostachys nutans. RNAcentral's name for it is "Elymus nutans partial small subunit ribosomal RNA". The stretch from base 37 to 215 matches the Rfam family "Eukaryotic small subunit ribosomal RNA", at positions 684 to 864 of the family's 1831-position model. The record is from RNAcentral. Lineage: Eukaryota; Viridiplantae; Streptophyta; Magnoliopsida; Poales; Poaceae.
GGAUCAAUAUGUCGGUCGCGCUUCGGUACGUACUGGUAUCAUUGGUUUCUCCUUUCUGACGAACCAUGAUGUCAUUAAUUUGGUGUUGCGGGGAAUUUGGACUGUUACUUUGAAAAAAUUAGAGUGUUUAAAGCAAGCUAACGCUUGAAUACAUUAGCAUGGAAUAAUGAAAUAGGACGUUCGAUCCUAUUUUGUUGGUUCCUAGGAUUGACGUA